RNAcentral lists this ribosomal RNA (391 nucleotides) under Asterionellopsis glacialis. RNAcentral's name for it is "partial Bacterial small subunit ribosomal RNA". It matches the Rfam family "Bacterial small subunit ribosomal RNA", at positions 1 to 392 of the family's 1533-position model. Lineage: Eukaryota; Bacillariophyta; Plagiogrammaphyceae; Rhaphoneidales; Asterionellopsidaceae. The record is from RNAcentral.
UACGGAGAGUUUGAUCCUGGCUCAGGACGAACGCUGGCGGCGUGCUUAACACAUGCAAGUCGAACGGAAAGGCCCUGCUUUUGUGGGGUGCUCGAGUGGCGAACGGGUGAGUAACACGUGAGUAACCUGCCCUUGACUUUGGGAUAACUUCAGGAAACUGGGGCUAAUACCGGAUAGGAGCUCCUGCUGCAUGGUGGGGGUUGGAAAGUUUCGGCGGUUGGGGAUGGACUCGCGGCUUAUCAGCUUGUUGGUGGGGUAGUGGCUUACCAAGGCUUUGACGGGUAGCCGGCCUGAGAGGGUGACCGGCCACAUUGGGACUGAGAUACGGCCCAGACUCCUACGGGAGGCAGCAGUGGGGAAUUUUCCGCAAUGGGCGAAAGCCUGACGGAGC